UACAGAGGGUGCAAGCGUUUGUUCGGAAUUAUUGGGCGUAAAGCGCGUGUAGGCGGCUUUGCAAGUCGGGUGUGAAAGCCCUCAGCUUAACUGAGGAAGUGCGCCCGAAACUGCAGAGCUUGAAUACCGGAGAGGAUGGCGGAAUUCCCCAAGUAGAGGUGAAAUUCGUAGAUAUGGGGAGGAACACCGGUGGCGAAGGCGGCCAUCUGGACGGCUAUUGACGCUGAGACGCGAAAGCGUGGGGAGCAAACAGG
This 254-nucleotide ribosomal RNA is filed under the name uncultured bacterium. Its description in RNAcentral is "partial 16S ribosomal RNA". It matches the Rfam family "Bacterial small subunit ribosomal RNA", at positions 524 to 776 of the family's 1533-position model. The record is from RNAcentral.